This 279-nucleotide ribosomal RNA is filed under the name uncultured bacterium. RNAcentral describes it as "partial 16S ribosomal RNA". It matches the Rfam family "Bacterial small subunit ribosomal RNA", at positions 506 to 784 of the family's 1533-position model. The record is from RNAcentral.
UGCCAGCAGCCGCGGUAAUACGAAGGGGGCUAGCGUUGUUCGGAAUUACUGGGCGUAAAGCGCGCGUAGGCGGAUUGUUAAGUCGGGGGUGAAAUCCCGGGGCUCAACCCCGGAACUGCCUCCGAUACUGGCAAUCUAGAGGAUGUGAGAGGAUAGUGGAAUUCCGAGUGUAGAGGUGAAAUUCGUAGAUAUUCGGAAGAACACCAGUGGCGAAGGCGACUGUCUGGCACAUUUCUGACGCUGAGGUGCGAAAGCGUGGGGAGCAAACAGGAUUAGAUA